Thalassophryne amazonica is the source of this 930-nucleotide long non-coding RNA. RefSeq lists it as uncharacterized. The transcript is spliced from 3 exons. Lineage: Eukaryota; Metazoa; Chordata; Actinopteri; Batrachoidiformes; Batrachoididae. The record is from RefSeq and is a predicted model, not a curated record.
AAGCCUUUCAAGGGUGAAUGAUGAGUUAUUUUACCAAAUAUGAGAUGAAAAUAGAUGGACUUAAACCUCAGGGUAUGAAGAGAAACAUAUUUCUAAUGUAGCACGGAUGUUGAGUUCCCCUCACCUGACCCUCGACCCCAAACAGUCUGUGUAUAGUUUGAUUUGCCUCUAAGCCAGAGGGAAUUUCUUCCUUUAACCCGUCUUGUCUCCACACUUGAUGAAAACCCUUUAACUGAAAAUUUGGGAACCGAAGCAAUCAAAUAAUGCGUAUAGACCAGUUUGUAGCACUAUAAGAGGAUGACUACUGAAAAGACUGCAUCCCAGUCUUGUCUGAAAUACAACAGAUAGCACCUAUAUAAUUAGGUUGAUCUUUAUUUUAUUUAACCUGGGAUGAUUUUAGUAGGUUUGGUUUUGCACCAUAUUUUUGUUGGUUGUCAGCUGGUCUUGUCUUUGUUUCUGUGCUUGAUAAGCAUUUUUCUUUAGAAAUCAGGGUGCCUCCGGUUCGCAGUAGCACUUUACCGUCUCUGCCGUUCAGCUCUUCUAUUCAGACACAAAGGGCUUCAUCCACUUUUGGCCUACUGAUCACAAAAAAACACAGCACAGGACGUUUGAGUCAAGACAGAGCAAGAAAUCAACAGUCACAUUUUACUCCAAAUUUUAUAUCAUUAGGCGUGAGGGGGUGAAGAUUCGUCAGACUUGGCAAACACCAAAAUUAACAACUUUUUGCUGGUCAGGCUAUUUUUGGUUAUAAAAAAUGCAUUCUGUUGCCAAGAAGAUUCACAUAUGAAAAUAAAGAUUGAAUAAAUAUUACAGUAUUCUCACAUUGCUUUGGACAACAUAAGCUUAAACGUUUUCAUUUAGUUUCUUAAAUGAAGCAGUCAGCUAUUUAUGUUUGUAUGUUUGCUUUGAGCAGCAACAGAAAGCUGAUGA